Molecule: long non-coding RNA, 522 nt
Filed under: Phoenix dactylifera (date palm)
Lineage: Eukaryota; Viridiplantae; Streptophyta; Magnoliopsida; Arecales; Arecaceae
Description: long non-coding RNA (PDAC_LNC022594)
Source: RNAcentral
AGUGCAUCCACAAAUGAAAUGGCAUAAAAAUCAGUAGUCCUUCAGCAAUAGCAUCUCCAAGAUAAAUAUUUUUGUAGUAGGCUUGGUACACGAUAAACUUAUUUUAAGGCUAUCUGUUGGGUAAAGAGUUGAUAGUCCAAGGUUCGCUGUACCGGUCGGUACCAGUCGGUACCGAGCGUACCGUACCCGUACCGAUGGGUACCGGUAUCGGUACACCAAUGUUGGUACGGUCGGUAUCGAGCGUACGGUACCGUACCGACACUCGGUACGCCUAUACUAGUGCGGCACCGGUACGGGGUUCGGUACCGGUACGGCGAACCUUGGUUGAUACCUUGCAUCUAUUUUAGAGAUUUCAUAUAUGACAUUGUUAACAGUUAGAUCACUCUAUCAACCACCCAUGAAUGUGUUUGACUUCCCUCCUUAUGAGAGGAGAAGAGCCCAUUGAUUAUUGAGCUGGAUUAGGUGAAAUAGAGCGGCAUAUUAUUAUUAUUUUUACCAAAAAAGGAAACUAAAUCCAAAGAC